This 758-nucleotide ribosomal RNA is filed under the name uncultured bacterium. Its description in RNAcentral is "bacterial SSU rRNA". It matches the Rfam family "Bacterial small subunit ribosomal RNA", at positions 1 to 734 of the family's 1533-position model. The record is from RNAcentral.
UACCCGACAGAGUUUGAUCCUGGAUAGAAAACGCGGGCGGCGUGUCUUAAGCAUGCGAGUCGAGCGGAGGAGCAGCAAUGCGCUGAGAGCGGUGGACUGGUGAGUAACGCGUGGGUAAUCUACCUUUGGCAUGGGGAUAGUCCUCUUAAAUAGUGGGUAAUACCGAAUACGUUCCCUGGGGGGAGGUUUCAGGGAAGAAAGGGUGCUACGGCACCGGCCGGAGAUGAUCUCGCGUCCCAUUAGCUCGUUGGUGAGGUAACGGCCCACCAAGGCGAUGAUGGGUAGCCGGCCUGAGAGGGUGUACGGCCACACUGGGACUGAGAUACGGCCCAGACUCCUACGGGAGGCAGCAGCUAAGAAUAUUCCGCAAUGGACUAAGGUCUGACGGAGCGACGCCGCGUGGAUGAUGAAGGCCGAAAGGUUGUAAAGUCCUUUUGCUGGGGAAGAAUAGGUGUGGGAGGGAAUGCCCGCAUGAUGACAUGAACCGGCGAAUAAGCCCCGGCCAACUACGUGCCAGCAGACGCGGUAACACGUAGGGGGCGAGGCGUUGUUCGGAAAUUACUGGGCGUUGAGGSCUUGUAUGCGGUCUGGUAACGCCUGUUGUGAUAGGGCCUCAGCUCUUCUUGUGGGUAUUGCGUUGGGGAACUGCUGUGCCUGGAGUUAUGGAGAGGGAAGCUUAGAGUUUCCUUGGGUGUAGGGUGGAAAUCUGUAAAUAUCAGGGAAGAUAACCUAUGGGGGAAGGCGAAGUUCCUUUGGCC